This is a long non-coding RNA of Ostrea edulis (European flat oyster), 977 nucleotides long. RefSeq lists it as uncharacterized. The record is from RefSeq and is a predicted model, not a curated record. Lineage: Eukaryota; Metazoa; Mollusca; Bivalvia; Ostreida; Ostreidae. The transcript is spliced from 2 exons.
GUCCAGGGCCGUAACUGCCGAUGAGGCAGACGAGGCAACUGCCUCGUCUGAUUUUUUGGCAAAAAAGAAAAUAAAAUUAUAUAAAUGUUAUAUUAUAGGAUAUAUGUUUAAAAUGAAGACAAGCACCUUUGUCUUUGACACCAUAUUACGAUUCUUUACAUAGUACAAAUGAAACACAAACAUGAUAAAUUGGGAUUUAAAAAGUGUCAUUUUCAGUCGUAAAGUCAAUCGGCGGCCCCCAAUCCCCUGCCUCCCCUGAUUUAGAACCCUACUUACGGCCCUCAUUGUGUGAUUACCUUCGCUAUUAAAACUCUAUUUACGGACAGCUUUGGUACCAAACAUGAAAGACAAGAUUUAUCGUAGCAAUGUUAAAACCACUUGGGUAACUGCUUGGACAUAGGUGACUAAAGGUGUUCAAUUAAAAAAAUUGUCCGUUGUUUGGACAUGCAGCUUAGGUGUUCGUAAAUCUCGUCCAUACAUACACCGAUCAAACUGUCCUGUGUUAUCGGCCGAUUCAUGCACGGCAUUUACCUCUGUGAAUAUUCUAAAAUCCCCUGAUGCGCACGUGAUUUUAGUGCCAUCAUUUAGCGUUGUAAAUGAAAUCUUCGUGCAUCAUUAUAUUUUUUUUAUGUGGAUUGCGCUUAAAUUGUUCUCCGUGUUUAUCGUUGGUGAGAAAAGUGUGUAAGUGUUGGGUAUCGUGUGCGUUUUGUGUCUAAAGUUUUGUUGUUUUUUGGAUGGGAUUUUUUUUUUUUAUUGCGUUGUGUAUUGUGUAAUUAGCGAACUUAAUAAAAACGAUGUUUUGUUAUUUUUUUAAUACGAAUGUUGAAUACGAACCGGAACGAGUUAUUGAGAGAAAUUUACAUGAACGCAUUGUUUUAAAGUUGAACAAAAUGGCGGUCCAAACGAAUGCAGAAAAGCAACGUUUAUCAAAACAUCCUUAUGAAUCCUACACCAGAAAUAAAGAAAAGGGAUAAGAA